AGAAAUCUCUCUGAUUUAGGAGAGGACGGGAGCACAGCACGGGAGAUAGGGGGACCAGGGCCUUAGGAUGAAUAAUAGAGUGAAACAGCACGGGUUUUCACCCAGCUCUGGGAAAAAGCCUAACCCUUGCCUCUGCGAUGUCUGCCUGACU
Molecule: long non-coding RNA, 151 nt
Organism: Oxyura jamaicensis (ruddy duck)
Lineage: Eukaryota; Metazoa; Chordata; Aves; Anseriformes; Anatidae
Exons: 3
Source: RefSeq, a predicted model, not a curated record